CAGUCGCCGCGGUAAUACGUAGGGUGCAAGCGUUAAUCGGAAUUACUGGGCGUAAAGCGUGCGCAGGCGGUUAUAUAAGACAGAUGUGAAAUCCCCGGGCUCAACCUGGGAACUGCAUUUGUGACUGUAUAGCUAGAGUACGGCAGAGGGGGAUGGAAUUCCGCGUGUAGCAGUGAAAUGCGUAGAUAUGCGGAGGAACACCGAUAACGAAGGCAAUCCCCUGGGCCUGUACUGACGCUCAUGCACGAAAGCGUGGGGAGCAAACAGGAUUAGAUACCCCUGUAGUCCCUGUCUCUUAUAU
This 301-nucleotide ribosomal RNA is filed under the name uncultured bacterium. Its description in RNAcentral is "partial 16S ribosomal RNA". It matches the Rfam family "Bacterial small subunit ribosomal RNA", at positions 509 to 809 of the family's 1533-position model. The record is from RNAcentral.